Small nucleolar RNA from Junco hyemalis (dark-eyed junco), 84 nucleotides. The record is from Ensembl. Lineage: Eukaryota; Metazoa; Chordata; Aves; Passeriformes; Passerellidae.
CAGAGAGUGAAAAAUGAUGAUACUGCUUGUAUGCUGCCUAGGUUACAGUGAAGACCUCAGAUCCAACUCUGAUUUCACUCUAGU